This 493-nucleotide ribosomal RNA is filed under the name uncultured bacterium. RNAcentral's name for it is "partial 16S ribosomal RNA". It matches the Rfam family "Bacterial small subunit ribosomal RNA", at positions 28 to 503 of the family's 1533-position model. The record is from RNAcentral.
GAUGAACGCUGGCGGCGUGCCUAAUACAUGCAAGUCGAGCGAACAGACGAGGAGCUUGCUCCUCUGACGCUAGCGGCGGACGGGUGAGUAACACGUGGAUAACCUACCUAUAAGACUGGGAUAACUUCGGGAAACCGGAGCUAAUACCGGAUAAUAUAUUGAACCGCAUGGUUCAAUAGUGAAAGACGGUUUUGCUGUCACUUAUAGAUGGAUCCGCGCCGCAUUAGCUAGUUGGCAAGGUAACGGCUUACCAAGGCAACGAUGCGUAGCCGACCUGAGAGGGUGAUCGGCCACACUGGAGCUGAGACACGGUCCAGACGACUACGGGAGGCAGCAGUAGGGAAUCUUCCGCAAUGGGCGAAAGCCUGACGGAGCAACGCCGCGUGAGUGAUGAAGGUCUUCGGAUCGUAAAACUCUGUUAUUAGGGAAGAACAAAUGUGUAAGUAACUAUGCACGUCUUGACGGUACCUAAUCAGAAAGCCACGGCUAACUA